RNAcentral lists this ribosomal RNA (382 nucleotides) under uncultured eukaryote. RNAcentral describes it as "partial 18S ribosomal RNA". It matches the Rfam family "Eukaryotic small subunit ribosomal RNA", at positions 592 to 976 of the family's 1831-position model. The record is from RNAcentral.
CAAUAGCGUAUAUUAAAGUUGUUGCAGUUAAAAAGCUCGUAGUUGGAUUUCUGGUUGAAGCGACCGGUCGGGCGUUGAUUCGUCUGCACUGGAGUCGGUUUUGGCCAUCCUCUAGGAAAGUGCGUCUGGUAUUAAGUUAUCGGGCGUAUGAUCCUGGUCUUUUACUGUGAAAAAAUUAGGGUGUUUAAAGCAGGCCUUCGCCUUGAAUACAUUAGCAUGGAAUAAUAAGAUAGGACUUUGGUCUAUUUUGUUGGUUUGCAGACCGAAGUAAUGAUUAAUAGGGAUAGUUGGGGGUAUUUAUAUUCCGAUGUCAGAGGUGAAAUUCUUAGAUUUUCGGAAGAUAAACUUAUGCGAAAGCAUUUACCAAGGAUGUUUNCAUUAA